AGAGCGCGGGCACAGUGCGCAGGCGCCGAGAUGCGGCCGCUUCCUGGCGUCUCCGUCUUUCCUCGGCAGUAUCUGGGACUCUGUGUACUUGCUCCCUGUGUGCAUGGAACAACGGUAGCGCAGACAGGGAUGCUGCAGACAGACAAUACAGUCGCCACUCCCCAGGACCAAGUGUCAUCCCAUUUCUUCUGUGGCCCCCAGCUCCAGCGGCAUCUGCUCUGAGAAGCCUUAGGUUAAUCCUUAGGCUUGGCCGGGCGCGGUGGUUCAUGCUUGUAAUCCCAGCACUUUGGGAGGCCGAGGCGGGUGGAUCGUUUGAGCCCAGGAGUUGGAGAUCAGCCUGGGCAACAUGCAGCUGAGUUUAAGGCGCAAGGUGGAGAACACAUCAGCUUCAAAGGCAGAGGGAAUCGAAGGUGCUCUCCAGCUUUGGAUACUUCCUCUGCUUGAGGACACCUUGACUAACCCCCAAGGGCAACUAAAGGAUCAAGAAAGGCCCAGCACAGCAGAAGACCAACUGGACUUAGCAACUGCAGGAGAUGUGUACAAAGACAAUCCCAGUCCUCUGGGGAUGUUUCCUCCUGUGGAAUCUCUGCCUCUCAUCCUCUCAGACCAUUUACCCUGGAAUCAAGGCAAGGAUUACUCAGAGGGCACUUGACUAUGGUGUUCAAGCUGGAAUGGAGAUAAUUGAGCGAAUGCUAAAAGAAAAGAACCUCCCAGAUUUAAGCGGUUCUGAGUCUCUUGAAUUUCUAAAGGUUGAUUACGUAAACUACAAUUUUUCAAAUAUAAAAAUCAAGGCCUUUUCAUUUCCAAAUACCUCAUUGGCUUUUGUGCCUGGGGUGGGAAUCAAAGCGCUAACCAACCACGGCACUGCCAACAUCAGCACAGACUGGGAGUUCGAGUCUCCACUUUU
Molecule: long non-coding RNA, 907 nt
Organism: Piliocolobus tephrosceles (Ugandan red Colobus)
Lineage: Eukaryota; Metazoa; Chordata; Mammalia; Primates; Cercopithecidae
Exons: 6
Source: RefSeq, a predicted model, not a curated record